This 2296-nucleotide long non-coding RNA is filed under the name Mus musculus (house mouse). RNAcentral's name for it is "long non-coding RNA chr14:48530357-48532653". The record is from RNAcentral. Lineage: Eukaryota; Metazoa; Chordata; Mammalia; Rodentia; Muridae.
GCAAUGAUGAGCAGGGUUAGGGUCCUGCCAGCCUCUCCCCCUGAGGGUUCACUGACUUGGGGUUUUUUCUCUGUGUGCCUCUUUGCUUUCUUAUGCUUCAGUCAUAGCUCUGCUUUCUGGAACACAUGGCGUGAAUCCUCUACCCGUCUACAAAGACGGCUGUGCAGAUUCUGUCCCAAAUCACAAUCUGCCUUCUUCUAAAGUUGGACACUCAUGAUUUCCUCACGAAGACGUUAUGGGUUCUUGUCUCAAGAUUCCCAUCCCUAUCUCUUUCUAGGGCCGUGAUCACAAAGAUCAGUGCUUCUCUUGAGAGGACUUCCAGUCAAAGGUGUAAAGUCACAAAUGGAUAGAAUUGAGCAGGGACGGAGGCAACGGUGCUGAGAGUGAGCACCUCCCUUUGUGGACAUCAUGGUAUUAGGUGUCGGCUCAUCUGACACCCAACCCCAUUCAAAGCAGCAGACCCAUCACCUUGUUCCUGUUGAUUGGCCGUCGUGUAUGGGAGGGUGCGGCUACAUGCAGGCUCACAGCAGAACGUGUGGGAGCUGGUUCUCUUCUUCCCCCGUGUGGAUUCCAGGGAUACAACUGAGAUUACCAGGCUUGGCAGCACAUGCCAUUACCGGCUGGACCACCAAAUCAGCCCUUGUUCCUAUUUAAAUAACAAAAGACCCCAUUUUUUUGCUCCAAAAAUUACAGGCUUGUUUCAUAACAUUCUUUUCAAGUUUUCUAACCCAGAAAACUGGGUGGGCCCCUAGCAUCACAGAGCAUUCAAGGACUUUCAGAGCCCAGUAAAGCUGGACCCAAGCCCAGGCUAUCCCAUCUCUUAACAUUGUAACACAAAGCUAAAGACUACUUUGUUGAGCUUAUUCUCUGAAACAAGAGCAUUGAUUUCCACUGAAGAUUAUUGUGACUAUUAAAUUGGAUGAUAAUACAAUGGUAGGUGUUCAGGAGAUGUUAGCUCUAAGUCAGAGAGCUGUGGGCUCUCGGAUACUAGUCCUGACUCACGUUCCUCAAGACAGCACUAGAACUCAGAAUUCUGCCCUCCAUGUUCUUUCAAGCUAAUGUGUACACCAUAGAGAGCAUGAAGACAUAAGUCUGAAAAUGAGGUGCCUAUCCAGGCCUGGUGGUACACAUCUGCAAUCCAAGCACUGAGACCGAAGAAGAAAGAUCCUGAGCUUGGGGCUAGCCUAGGCUCCUGGACAAAACUGUCUCAAAAAGGGCUGCAAGUAUGACUGUUUAAUAUAGGGACCUUGAUUUUAUUUUUUACUUAGUGAAUGUUCAACAUACAUUUGCUGUGUAUCAGGCACCCCCUAUCGACAGAAAAGACAUGGGAAGACACUCCGUUUGUUCACGGGACUUGGAUCAUUUCAAAACUUCUCUUUGUGCAUAAACCUAGCUCUAUUUCAGUUUGGCUUUUCUGGCUGGUUAGAGUCCAGUCUGGCAUGAGUUCCUGACCAUGGCAAUUUCCCGGGCUGUCUAGAAGAAGCCACCCCGCAUUCCUGCCAGCAAAGAAUGGUCUUUCCCAGCCAUUCUAAGAGUUAUAAAGGGCUAUCUCCCUGUUAUUUAAACAGGUGACUCCUGGGAGACUCUGACAUAGUGGACCACCAUCUCAUAUGUUCUUCUGCUGUUGAUGUAGUCUUUGGCGAGAGGUCUAUUCAGAUGUCAUCUCUCCUUCUGAAUGGCCUUUGUUGUUGUCUUAUUGCUGUUUGGGGCUGAGUUCUUUGUGUGUUUUCUCAUACAAGCUCUUUAACAGAUUAAGCGGUUUACAAAUAUUUUCUCCAAAUACAUGCUUUGGGGCUGGAGAGAUGAAUCAGAGGACCUGAGUUCGAGUCUCAGCUCUCUCACGGCAGCUCACACCACACUGUCACUCUGGUUCCAGAGGAUCUGAUGUCCUCUUCUGCCCUCCACAGCACUGCACACACGAGGUUUAUAGAGAUACAUGUAGGCAAAGCAUGUGUAUGCGUGUGAUGGUUUGUAUAUGUUUCCCCAGGAGGGGGGGGUGACACUAUUAGAAGGUGUGGCCCUGUUGGAGUAGGUGUGUCACUGUGGGUGUGGGCUUUAAGACCCUCACCCUAGCUGCCUGAAAGUCAGUCUUCCACUAGCAGCCUUCAGAUGAAGAUAUAGAACUCUCAGCUCCUCCUGCACCAUGCCAACCUGGAUGCUGCCAUGUUCCUGCCUUGAUGAUAAUGAACUGAACCUCUGAACCUGUAAGCCAGCCCCAAUUAAAUGUUGUCCUUUAUAAGACAUUGGUCAUGGUGUCUGUUCAUAGCACCAAAACCCUAACUAAGACAAUACAUAA